RNAcentral lists this ribosomal RNA (504 nucleotides) under uncultured bacterium. Its description in RNAcentral is "partial 16S ribosomal RNA". It matches the Rfam family "Bacterial small subunit ribosomal RNA", at positions 30 to 523 of the family's 1533-position model. The record is from RNAcentral.
AUUGAACGCUGGCGGCAGGCCUAACACAUGCAAGUCGAACGGUAGCACAGAGAGCUUGCUCUUGGGUGACGAGUGGCGGACGGGUGAGUAAUGUCUGGGAAACUGCCCGAUGGAGGGGGAUAACUACUGGAAACGGUAGCUAAUACCGCAUAACGUCUUCGGACCAAAGUGGGGGACCUUCGGGCCUCACACCAUCGGAUGUGCCCAGAUGGGAUUAGCUAGUAGGUGGGGUAAUGGCUCACCUAGGCGACGAUCCCUAGCUGGUCUGAGAGGAUGACCAGCCACACUGGAACUGAGGCACGGUCCAGACUCCUACGGGAGGCAGCAGUGGGGAAUAUUGCACAAUGGGCGCAAGCCUGAUGCAGCCAUGCCGCGUGUAUGAAGAAGGCCUUCGGGUUGUAAAGUACUUUCAGCGGGGAGGAAGGCGUUAAGGUUAAUAACCUUGGCGAUUGACGUUACCCGCAGAAGAAGCACCGGCUAACUCCGUGCCAGCCGCCGCCGUAA